GGUCAGGAUGAACGCUAGCGACAGGCUAACACAUGCAAGUCGAGGGGCAGCACGGGAGUAGCAAUACUUGGUGGCGACCGGCGCACGGGUGAGUAACGCGUAUGCAACCUACCUAUCAGAGGGGAAUAACCCGGCGAAAGUCGGACUAAUACCGCAUAAAACAGGGGCACCGCAUGGUGAUAUUUGUUAAAGAAAUUCGCUGAUAGAUGGGCAUGCGUUCCAUUAGGUAGUUGGUGAGGUAACGGCUCACCAAGCCGACGAUGGAUAGGGGAACUGAGAGGUUGGUCCCCCACACUGGUACUGAGACACGGACCAGACUCCUACGGGAGGCAGCAGUGAGGAAUAUUGGUCAAUGGGCGGGAGCCUGAACCAGCCAAGUCGCCGUGAAGGAAGAAGGAUCUAUGGUUCGUAAACUUCUUUUGCAGGGGAAUAAAGUGCAGGACGUGUCCUGUUUUGUAUGUACCCUGAGAAUAAGGAUCGGCUAACUCCGUGCCAGCCGCCGC
This 503-nucleotide ribosomal RNA is filed under the name uncultured bacterium. Its description in RNAcentral is "bacterial SSU rRNA". It matches the Rfam family "Bacterial small subunit ribosomal RNA", at positions 22 to 518 of the family's 1533-position model. The record is from RNAcentral.